GGAGGGGUGCCUGAGAGGUCUAAAGGGAACACCUUAAAUCAAGGUGUUGAACAUUUUAUACUAAUGUUCCGUCGGUUCGAAUCCUACUCCCUCCGCCA
This 98-nucleotide transfer RNA is filed under the name Vibrio marisflavi. RNAcentral's name for it is "tRNA-Ile". It matches the Rfam family "tRNA". From Rfam's summary of the family: Transfer RNA (tRNA) molecules are approximately 80 nucleotides in length. Their secondary structure includes four short double-helical elements and three loops (D, anti-codon, and T loops). Further hydrogen bonds mediate the characteristic L-shaped molecular structure. tRNAs have two regions of fundamental functional importance: the anti-codon, which is responsible for specific mRNA codon recognition, and the 3' end, to which the tRNAs corresponding amino acid is attached (by aminoacyl-tRNA synthetases). tRNAs cope with the degeneracy of the genetic code in two manners: having more than one tRNA (with a specific anti-codon) for a particular amino acid; and 'wobble' base-pairing, i.e. permitting non-standard base-pairing at the 3rd anti-codon position. The record is from RNAcentral. Lineage: Bacteria; Pseudomonadati; Pseudomonadota; Gammaproteobacteria; Vibrionales; Vibrionaceae.